AAAAUAUGUCAUUUUCAAAAAUAUAAAAUUUUAAAUUCUAAUUUUAACUAAAAUCAAAUGACAACAACACACGCAGUCUUGGACAAAAAGAUUGUCAAGUUUGGAAGAGCAUCUCCUAUCACAUGAUAAAGAUAGGGUGAAUUUAUAUGGAAAUAUUUUAGGAGGUUAGGCAUGUGGCUUGAGAAUAAAGUGUGAAGGGAGAUGAAAUAGAAAAGAAAGCACGUGGUAAGUAGGCUGGGAAUUUUUUUCUUUUUUUAAAAAAAA
RNAcentral lists this unclassified non-coding RNA (264 nucleotides) under Hevea brasiliensis (rubber tree). The record is from RNAcentral. Lineage: Eukaryota; Viridiplantae; Streptophyta; Magnoliopsida; Malpighiales; Euphorbiaceae.